Non-coding RNA from Drosophila melanogaster (fruit fly), 675 nucleotides. NCBI's taxonomy places the organism in Eukaryota, Metazoa, Arthropoda, Insecta, Diptera, Drosophilidae. The record is from Ensembl.
UCGCAGACGCAGAGUACCGCAGUCGAAAAAAAAGGUUAACUCAAGACCAAAAAAAAAAACAGGAGAAAAAAUGGAAAAAAUGGAAAAAAGAAACGCUGAACAACAAUAACAAAGUGGAUGGAAAAAAGUACGACCAUCAACACGAUCAUCAACGAGAACCAUAAAUAAGACUUAAAUGGCAUGAAAAAGGCAAAGGCAGCAACAACAGCAACUCUGACUGCAAUCAAAACGCAGGCUAUGGCCAUUACAGCAACAACAAAAGCACCAACAACAAAGUUAACCACAGCAAACAACUGAAAAGAAAAAGCAGCGAAAAAAAAUACAACAAAAAUUAUCAACAAAAUAAUACAAAAAAAACACCACACGAAGUCAACGUUAUAAAUCGCCUAUAAAAGCAACAACAACCACAGCGAGCAGCCGCACCUUCGCACACACACACACACACAAGCACGCGUACCUGUAUAAUCUCGGUUACCAUAUGUACAUACAUACAUACAACCCUGCUCUGCCUCUGACCGCUUCCUCUUCCUCAUGCUCCAACUUUAACUCCAAUUGCGACUCCGAAUUCGAAGCGAGGAGCGAGGAGCCUGCAGCGCUUGGGGAUCGAGCGACCCAAAAUGACGGAAGACAAAAAAUAGGGGCCAUCUCAAGGAACCGAAGCUUACGAUACCCUUG